Molecule: long non-coding RNA, 473 nt
Organism: Suricata suricatta (meerkat)
Lineage: Eukaryota; Metazoa; Chordata; Mammalia; Carnivora; Herpestidae
Exons: 4
Source: RefSeq, a predicted model, not a curated record
GCUCUACAAACAAGCAAAGGAAUUCAUCAAAAAUAGAAGAGGACCUCAAACGGACAAAAGGAUCAGUUAUCCUCUCCACUUUACAACUGAAGAAACUGAAGCACAAAGAAUACUUAACUUGCUCAAGAUUGCAGAGCUUCGGAAGAUAUGAAAUGAGUUUGAGCUUUGCACAAAAUGGCAUCCUUAAUUGUACAAGGAACACAAAAGGAGUAGGAGGUCCACGAAAAAUCAUCUGUAGAUGUCCUUUAGCUAAAAAUACCAGCCAAGCUGAAUGAAACAGCAAACAGUCCAGUGAUGGUCAGCUAAGGUGCUUCUCUGAUUUAAUUGUUUGGAAGCAGUCACUGGAAGCAACACUAUGUGACUCAGCUUUGGCGAUGGAGUCCAGCUGGGGUCUGACAGGCUAUAAUCUCAUGAUUUCAUGAUGCAGUAAUUCAGAUUUCUUGACACAAAGAGGAAAAACAUUUCUCUCUCUG